GGUUUUGCUUCUUAUACCUACCGUUCAUAUAUGUAUAAAGUAAUGGCAUAUAUGAUAAAUAGGAGGGUUCACUGUGCUGUGGAAGAAAGCCUGGAUAUUUCCCUGUUCCAUCAGAUAUUGAUCCAUUUAAUGUAGGAAUAAGACACCAGCAACAUUAGUGUUUUGUGGAAAGAAAAGGAGAACAUAAAGAUGCAUAACGUUUUGUCACAUUAUCUGCUUCAAGGGAAGAGGUAAUAAGUGUAGGAUGAUUUCCACCAUCAGGUUUUGAAACUGGCUACAAACUCUCCUCUGAAAUACAAUAAAGUGAGGCCUUCUUCUAUUUGUCGAGCAAAUUCGUUUUGAAAUUCAUAAUGGCUGCUUCUAAUAAAUUUUUUUCAUCAAGAUGCUUAAUAAUUAAUUUUUCAUUACAGAUUCAAAAAUGUUUCCUUCAAUCAUGUUGAACUAACUAAUCUGUAGUUAUGAGGUUUGAGAUGCCUCCCUUUUUGAAAAUGGCUAUAACACAACUUGCACUCUCCAAUCCACUAGCUACAUCCAGUCAAUAGCACAAUGCUCAACUAUAAUUUCUAAGAUCUAUGAUAAUUGUUACCCUGUUUCCCUAAGGAUCCCCAUGUAUAUCCUAUUAAGUCCUGGUACUUCAUCUUCCUUUAGCUUAAUUAAUGCUUCCACCACUGCUUUAUUAUUAUGACUCAUUUUGUAUUUGAACAAUUUAGGAUUUACCUCCUCCCCAAAAUAAUUCUCCUUGUUCAAACAAUAAAGUGGAGUCAUUAAAUACCUCUGUUAAUUUUCACUCAACCUCACCAAAGUAGUCUCUUCUGUGAGGUGUUCCUAACUUUUGUAAACAAAUCUGUUUUUACUGAUAUAUUUGUGGAACACUUCAGUGUGCCUUCAAAUUAUUUUGGAAAUUCUCUCCUUAAAAUUAUUCCAAAUGUUAUUGUGUUCCUCCCUCAAUUUGAUUGUACAUGUAAACAUCAAAAAGUCAAUUUUAACUUGAUUGUCAACUCUUUAGUUAGCCAUGGACGUUCGAGGCUUGAUGUUAUCUUUCCGCAAAAUUUAUAUGAUACAUUCUAAUAUGCAGCAAGGUAUAAUAAUCCAACUCUUUUAAAUGGCUGACACAGUAGCUCAGUGGCCACUGCGUUGCCUGACAGUGCCAGGGAUUCGGGUUCAAUUCCAGCCUUUGAUGACUGUCAGUAAGGAAUUUGUACAUUCGCCCCAUGUCGGUUUGCAUUUCUGCAAAUGCUCCAGUUUCCCCCCACAUUCCAAAGAUGUGCAGGUUAGGUGAAUUGGCUAUGCUAAGUUGUCACAGAGUGUCCAGGGAUGUGCAAGCUAGGUGAAUUUGGCUAUAGUAAAAAUUGAGUAAUGGAGAUAGCAUGGAGACCAGGGUCUGAGUGGAAUGCAUCAGUGCAGACUCAAUGGGCGAAUGGCCUCUUUCCACACCAUAGGGAUUCUAUGAUCUGAGUGCUAGAAGCCAACUAGACUGUAAGCCAGUCAAAGAGAAAUAGAACAAGAAGAACUGUUAUUUUUGCUCUGACUGCUGCAAACCAUCAACUGUCAAAACAAACUUUACAAUUAACCGCAAGUAAAGAAUUCUGAAAUCAACAUUCCGUCAUCUCCUCUUCAUGAUUCACCGGAGAGACUUAUUUAUAUUUAUUUUUAAAUUUUUUACUACUUUUUGGAUUUACUUAUUAUUCCUAAUAUGCAUCUAGGUGUGUUGUGUUACUAAUUCU
Molecule: non-coding RNA, 1724 nt
Organism: Chiloscyllium plagiosum (whitespotted bambooshark)
Lineage: Eukaryota; Metazoa; Chordata; Chondrichthyes; Orectolobiformes; Hemiscylliidae
Source: RefSeq, a predicted model, not a curated record